GACGAACGCUGGCGGCGUGCUUAACACAUGCAAGUCGAACGGAAAGGCCCUGCUUUUGUGGGGUGCUCGAGUGGCGAACGGGUGAGUAACACGUGAGUAACCUGCCCUUGACUUUGGGAUAACUUCAGGAAACUGGGGCUAAUACCGGAUAGGAGCUCCUGCUGCAUGGUGGGGGUUGGAAAGUUUCGGCGGUUGGGGAUGGACUCGCGGCUUAUCAGCUUGUUGGUGGGGUAGUGGCUUACCAAGGCUUUGACGGGUAGCCGGCCUGAGAGGGUGACCGGCCACAUUGGGACUGAGGUACGGCCCAGACUCCUACGGGAGGCAGCAGUGGGGAGUAUUGCACAAUGGGCGGAAGCCUGAUGCAGCAACGCCGCGUGCGGGAUGACGGCCUGCGGGUUGUAAACCGCUUUCGCCUGUGACGAAGCGUGAGUGACGGUAAUGGGUAAAGAAGCACCGGCUAACUACGUG
RNAcentral lists this ribosomal RNA (468 nucleotides) under uncultured bacterium. RNAcentral describes it as "partial 16S ribosomal RNA". It matches the Rfam family "Bacterial small subunit ribosomal RNA", at positions 28 to 507 of the family's 1533-position model. The record is from RNAcentral.